GAUGAACGCUGGCGGCGUGCCUAAUACAUGCAAGUCGAGCGAACAGACGAGGAGCUUGCUCCUCUGACGUUAGCGGCGGACGGGUGAGUAACACGUGGAUAACCUACCUAUAAGACUGGGAUAACUUCGGGAAACCGGAGCUAAUACCGGAUAAUCUAUUGAACCGCAUGGUUCAAUAGUGAAAGACGGUUUUGCUGUCACUUAUAGAUGGAUCCGCGCCGCAUUAGCUAGUUGGUAAGGUAACGGCUUACCAAGGCAACGAUGCGUAGCCGACCUGAGAGGGGGAUCGGCCACACUGGAACUGAGACACGGUCAAGACGCCUACGGGAGGCAGCAGUAGGGAAUCUUCCGCAAUGGGCGAAAGCCUGACGGAGCAACGCCGCGUGAGUGAUGAAGGUCUUCGGAUCGUAAAACUCUGUUAUUAGGGAAGAACAAAUGUGUAAGUAACUAUGCACGUCUUGACGGUACCUAAUCAGAAAGCCACGGCUAACUACGUG
This 497-nucleotide ribosomal RNA is filed under the name uncultured bacterium. RNAcentral's name for it is "partial 16S ribosomal RNA". It matches the Rfam family "Bacterial small subunit ribosomal RNA", at positions 28 to 507 of the family's 1533-position model. The record is from RNAcentral.